Molecule: ribosomal RNA, 484 nt
Filed under: uncultured bacterium
Lineage: Bacteria
Description: bacterial SSU rRNA
Rfam family: Bacterial small subunit ribosomal RNA
Source: RNAcentral
AUUGAACGCUGGCGGCAUGCCUUACACAUGCAAGUCGAACGGUAACAGGGAGCUUGCUCCGCUGACGAGUGGCGAACGGGUGAGUAAUGUAUCGGAAUGUACCAUUCAGUGGGGGAUAACGUAGCGAAAGUUACGCUAAUACCGCAUAUUCUGUGAGCAGGAAAGCAGGGGAUCGCAAGACCUUGCGCUGAUUGAGCGGCCGAUAUCAGAUUAGCUAGUUGGUGAGGUAAAGGCUCACCAAGGCGACGAUCUGUAGCGGGUCUGAGAGGAUGAUCCGCCACACUGGAACUGAGACACGGUCCAGACUCCUACGGGAGGCAGCAGCGGGGAAUUUUGGACAAUGGGGGCAACCCUGAUCCAGCCAUGCCGCGUGAGUGAAGAAGGCCUUCGGGUUGUAAAGCUCUUUCGGCCGGGAAAAAAUCGCAUCAGUUAAUACCUGGUGUGGAUGAUGGUACCGGAAUAAGAAGCACCGGCUAACUACGUG